AAGAAUAAGAUGACUUUUUAGC
Molecule: microRNA, 22 nt
Filed under: Dinoponera quadriceps
Lineage: Eukaryota; Metazoa; Arthropoda; Insecta; Hymenoptera; Formicidae
Description: dqu-miR-11660-3p
Source: miRBase by way of RNAcentral